CCAUGUGAGGGCGAUCUGGCUGCGACGUCUGUCACCCCAUUGAAAGCCAGCGUUGAUUCGGCUGAUCUGGCUGGCUAGGCGGGUGUCCCCUUCCUCUCUCACCUCUGCUCCACGUGCACCCCUCUCCAAGCUGCGUGCUCAGUAGAAGAGGACAGCCUUCCCCAAAUAGAGACUGACCAGUCUUCGGUCUAGGGUAUACGAGUAGCUGCGUUCCCCUGACAGAACCUCCAAACAAGAUCUCAAAUGCAAAGUAGACACCUUAAAAUCUUGCAUUAUAUCUCCAGCCACAAAAUAUUUUU
This 299-nucleotide small nuclear RNA is filed under the name Sorex araneus (European shrew). Its description in RNAcentral is "7SK RNA (ENSSARG00000018179.1)". It matches the Rfam family "7SK RNA". Rfam says of the family: 7SK was discovered as an abundant small nuclear RNA in the mid-70s but a possible function has only recently been suggested. The record is from RNAcentral. Lineage: Eukaryota; Metazoa; Chordata; Mammalia; Eulipotyphla; Soricidae.